Polistes dominula (European paper wasp) is the source of this 908-nucleotide long non-coding RNA. The record is from RefSeq and is a predicted model, not a curated record. NCBI's taxonomy places the organism in Eukaryota, Metazoa, Arthropoda, Insecta, Hymenoptera, Vespidae.
GAAACUAUUAAGGAUGGAACUUAACGUAAAAAAAAUGAGUUUUUCGGUAUGGUCUGACUACAAGGAAAUUUGUAGAAAAGGAAUGUACGUGAAAUAAUGGAUUUCCUGGUAUGGUUUGACUACAAAGAAAUAUGUAGGAGAGGAAUCUAUAUAAAAUGAAGAAUUUUCUGGUAUGGUUUAACUACAAAGAAAUAUGUAGGAGAGGAAUCUAUAUACAAUGAAGUAUUUUUAGUAUGGUCUAUAGAAGAGGAAGCAAACUUUUAAAGAUGGAAGGAAUUUAUGUAAAAAAAUGUGUUUCAUGCAUGAUCUGGCUACAAGGAAAUUUGUAGAGAAAGAAAAGAAUUAUAUGUGAAAUAAUGUUUGGACAAGAGAAUUUAAUGAAGAUAAUUCAAGCGGACAAUUGCAAUUAAAAGAUGAGUAUAUAUAUAUAUAAAAUUGAAUAUUUCUUUAAUUUUUCCUUAAAUUUAUUAUCUUAUGAUGAAGUUCUUUACCACCGAGAUCUAUGAGUGCCAUGAUUAGUUCAUGUAUUUGCUAACUGAUAUUUUAUUAUUUUCUUUUUUUAUUUAAAUACUUUUAUUUAGACUGUAAAUAUUACAAAAUGAAAAUAUAUUUUACAGUUAUCACGUUGGCUGUGGUAAUGAAGAUUUAUUUGAAGUCAACAAUUUAUUUGGAUUCCGGAUCGUUGCAAAUGGAACAUAUGUCAUGUAGUAACGAGGCCAACUUUCCAGCACUGUGGUUGAUCACUGCGCGUACGUUUUCUUUACAAAUUAGCACGCAGACGAUACGAAGGGUGUGACACUUUAGCACUUGUAAAUAUCCCUUUUUGAUCCUUACAACACAACUAGGACGUUUAUUUCUAAUUGAAAUUUGUUUUAAUACGAUUUAACUAAAUUUAGAUUCUUGUAUAA